This 3052-nucleotide unclassified non-coding RNA is filed under the name Trichogramma pretiosum. Its description in RNAcentral is "protein Fe65 homolog, transcript variant X4". Lineage: Eukaryota; Metazoa; Arthropoda; Insecta; Hymenoptera; Trichogrammatidae. The record is from RNAcentral.
AGUCGUGUGUGUAUCGUAGUUGCGCGCGGCCGGCAGUUCCGUGCACGGCCCUGCAGCAGUCGCACGAGAAUAUUCCAUUAUAUAUAUACAUCGGUGCGUGUGUACAAGUGUAAGUGUAAGUGCCAGGGUGGUGUUGUAUAUAUCGCCUCGUGUGUGCGUGUACAUAUGAAAAAUAAAUAUACGAUCGUGUUUAGGCUGCAAGCAUAUACACACACACACACGAUUAUUCUAAUAUCCGCGAACUCGGUUCGUUAUUCUGUCCAGAGAACUUGAAACUCGAGUACAAGAAUAAAAAGGAAAAAAGUCCGUCCAUUAAAACGUCCUCUAGUUCUCUUUCGUCCCCGCUCGCGCGUUUGUGUGUGUGUGUGUCCAAAUGAUUAGCAUGUGUGUCACGUAUACAUAAAUAUUAUAUCGCAAUAUAAUACAAUAAUAAUGAUGAUGCAGUGCGCGUCGUGCAGUGUGUGAGCGAUGACACCGACGUGACGCGCCACUUAUUGCAGCCUACCGAGCCAGAGUACGAAUAGUAUAUAACGAGAAAAAAAUAUCGGGGCACAGGUAUAUCUGUAUAAUUCGCGAAAGAAGGUCGAAAUAUAAGGGGUGCAGCAGCAGCAGCGACGACAACGUAACAACGUCUUGGUGUAUGUGACUGCUGUAAGCUCGCUCGCGCGUAGUGUGUGUGUGUGUGUGGUCAAGUCGAGUCGAUGAACAACAACACACAACUGCAGGUCGUCGAAGUCGAGCUGGUGGCACGUUGUCCUCCUCGGCCUAAUCCGCCUACUAUCCAGCGGCCGGCGCAAAUGAGAGCCGCCCUCAAACCAGCCGCUGCCAGCUGACUUUACUGCGAGAAGGCCGACAGCAUAAUCGCGACGACAGACAUGGGCGGUAUGCCGCACGUGGAAGGCGUCAACAACGACAUUUACGCGGGCGUGCCGGUGAAGCGGCGACACCCCAAAGACAAGCUGCAGAUAAGCCAGCGCCAGAACAACGACAAGCAGCUGGACAAGGAGAACGACGAGGGCAACAACGCCGACUCGGAGAACAAGGAGGUGAAUCUGCCCCUGGGAUGGGAGAAGCACGAGGACAAAGAGGGCCCGUACUAUUGGCACAUCAAGAGCGGCACGAUUCAGCGCGAGGCGCCGGACGUGCACUUCUCGAAGAUCGAGGUGCGCCGAAGCUUCAUCAAGGAUUCCGACAGCAUAUGCAACUUUAACGCGCUGUCUGGGAGCCACUUUGGCACGGUGACGCGCAGCAACACGAGCUCGGCUCUGGACCAGGAGCUCGAGAACAAGCGCAAGGAGGAGCUCGCCCUAAAACGAAGAAGCUAUCCGGCGCGCGCCGACUCCGAGGACAGAAACAAGCCGAUCAGAUUCGCGGUGCGCUCGCUCGGCUGGACGGAGAUCGCCGAGGAGGACCUCACCCCGGAGCGCAGCAGCAAGGCCGUCAACAAGUGCAUCGUCGAUCUGUCGCUGGGCAGGAACGAUCUGCUCGACGUCGUGGGACGAUGGGGCGACGGUAAGGACUUGUUCAUGGACUUGGACGAGGGCGCGCUGAAGCUCAUCGAUCCGGAGAAUCUGACGGUGCUGAACACGCAGCCGAUUCACACGCUGCGCGUCUGGGGCGUCGGACGAGAUCACGGACGCGAAAGGGACUUCGCUUACGUGGCGCGCGACCGCACGACGCGCAAGCACAUGUGCCACGUGUUCCGCUGCGACAUACCGGCGCGCACGAUAGCCAACACGCUGCGCGACAUCUGCAAGAAGAUCAUGAUCGAGCGCUCGCUCCAUCAGAAUCUGGCCAGGCCCGUGGACGUGCACGGCCGCGCCGGUCUGGCGGCGAGGCCCACGAAUCUGCCCACCGAGCACAGGCGCUUCCAUCAUCGCAACGGACCGGCGCCACUUGUGCAAUCCUUCCCGACGCCCAUGGAGGAGCCGAAGAAGAUCCUGCGCGCCCAGUAUCUCGGCUCGAUGCAGGUGGCCCAGGCGACGGGCAUGGACGUGCUCAACGACGCCAUCGACCAGCUGGUCCAGAGCCAGCCCCAGUCGCAGUGGCGCGACGUCAACGUCGCCGUGGCGCCGAGCAUGAUAUCCAUACUGGCGCCGGCGGCGGCGAGCGACGGCAGCGGCAGCGGCGGCGACAAGCUCAUAGCCGAGUGCCGAGUGAGAUACCUGUCGUUUCUGGGCAUCGGCCAGAACGCCAAGCAGUGCGCCUUCAUCAUGCACACGGCCCAGGAUCUGUUCAUCGCGCACGUGUUCAACUGCGAGCCGAGCAGCGGCAGCCUCUGCAAAACGAUCGAGGCUGCUUGCAAGCUGAGGUACCAGAAAUGCCUGGACGCCCACCCGGCGGGCUUUCGCAGUCAGAGCGCGAGCGCCGGCAGCACGCCCCAGACGGCGCGCGGCUUGAGCCUGGCCACCCUCAAGUCGCUCGUCGGCAAUCUGACCGGGCGUAAAAACAGCAACAGCACGACCACGACUACGACGACGACGAACGAGAAGCUGUCGGCGAGCAACGAGUCCUGAGACGAAGCUCUAACGCUGCAGGUGUGUAGAACAAAGCAAGCUUUGAUGACUUUAAAGAGCUGCGUCGCCGCCGCCGCCGCUCGUGCCGCUUCUUCUUCUUCUACCGCUACCACCGCUACCACUGCUACUUCUACCACUACUGCUGCUGCUGCUGCUACUACUUGUGCUACUUCUUUCGCCUGCGCGGCGGAGCGCUUGAUCCAGCGGCGCUCCUCCUCGUUGUCCAUGAUGAUGAACCACGGCGUCGAGACCGCGCCAUCCAUGAGAACUGGCAGACGGAUCGUUGCGAGCUUACGAUAGGAACUUUGGCCGCUGGUAACUGCCGAGCGCGAGGUCAUACGCCACAGGCAUUUGCAGUCACCCAUGACCGUAAAAUACAUCGGUGGAGGAGGAGAAGGCGGAGCAGCGUCACCACCGAGUGCCUCGCUGAAAUCGCUACUCUCGCCCACCCUCGACACGACGACGAGGCGCCUGCAACUCGUGGCGGCCCGCUGGGAGAGCAGUCGUUCUUAGGAAAAAGAAUAAAUAAAAUAAAA